GCGUCUAGAGGAACAGCGAGAGGGAGACAGACGUUGAGAGAACGAGAAGGAAGGAGAGAAAAUGGCAUCCACGGAUUAUAGUACAUACAGCCAAGCUGCAGCCCAGCAGGGCUACAGUGCUUACACUGCCCAGCCCACUCAAGGAUAUGCACAGACUACCCAGGCACAUGGGCAGCAAAGUUAUGGAACCUAUGGACAGCCCACUGAUGUCAGCUAUACCCAGGCAACCUAUGGGCAGACCGCCUAUGCAACUUCUUAUGGACAGCCUCCCACUGGAUAUUCUACUCCAACUGCCCCCCAGGCAUACAGUCAGCCUGUCCAGGGGUACGGCACUGGUGCUUAUGAUGCCACCACUGCUACGGUUACCACCACCCAGGCCUCCUAUGCAGCUCAGUCUGCGUAUGGCACUCAGCCUGCUUACCCAGCUUAUGGACAGCAGCCAGCAGCCACUGCGCCUGCGAGACCGCAGGAUGGUAACAAACCUGCCGAGACUAGUCAAUCUCAAUCUAGCACAGGGGGUUACAACCAGCCCAGCCUAGGAUAUGGACAGAGUGACUACAGUUAUCCCCAGGUACCUGGGAGCUACCCCAUGCAGCCAGUCUCGGCACCACCGUCCUACCCUCCUACCAGCUAUUCCUCUACACAGCCGACUAGUUACGAUCAGAGCAGUUACUCCCAGCAGAACACCUAUGGGCAGCCGAGCAGCUACGGGCAGCAGAGUGGCUACGGCCAGCAAGGCAGCUAUGGGCAGCAGCCGCCCACCAGUUACCCCCCCAGACCGGGUCCUACAGCCAGGCUCCAAGUCAGUACGGCCAGCAGCGCAGCAGCUACGGGCAGCAGAGUUCAUUCCGACAGGACCACCCCAGUAGCAUGGGUGUUUAUGGGCAGGAGUCUGGAGGAUUUUCCGGACCCGGAGAGAACCGGAGCAUGAGUGGCCCUGAUAACCGGGGCAGGGGAAGAGGGGGAUUUGAUCGUGGAGGCAUGAGCAGAGGUGGGCGGGGAGGAGGACGCGGUGGAAUGGGNGUGGGAGAAAAAUCAACGUUGUCCUCCUGCGCGCUCCCCCCGGGCGGUGACCGCGGCAGAGGUGGCCCUGGAGGCAUGCGGGGAGGAAGAGGUGGCCUCAUGGACCGCGGUGGUCCUGGUGGAAUGUUCAGAGGCGGCCGUGGUGGAGACAGAGGUGGCUUCCGCGGCGGCCGGGGCAUGGACCGUGGUGGCUUUGGUGGUGGAAGACGAGGUGGCCCUGGGGGCCCCCCUGGACCACUGAUGGAACAGAUGGGAGGACGGCGAGGCGGGCGAGGAGGACCUGGAAAGAUGGAUAAAGGCGAGCACCGUCAGGAGCGCAGAGACUGGCCCUACUAGACGCAGAGACCCGCAGAGCUGCAUUGACUACCAGAUUUAUUUUUUAAACCAGAAAAUGUUUUAAAUUUAUAAUUCCAUAUUUAUAAUGUUGGCCACAACAUUAUGAUUAUUCCUUGUCUGUACUUUAGUAUUUUUCACCAUUUGUGAAGAAACAUUAAAACAAGUUAAAUGGUAGUGUGCUGAGUUUUUUUUUUCUUCUUAUUUUAAAGAUGGUUGUUUAAGACUAAACAAUGGGAACCCCUUGUGAGCAUGCUCAGUAUCAUUGUGGAGAACCAAGAGGGCCUCUAACUGUAACAAUGUUCAUGGUUGUAAUUUUUUUUUUUAAUAAAAUUCCAAAUGUUUAUAAACA
Odocoileus virginianus texanus is the source of this 1708-nucleotide non-coding RNA. NCBI's taxonomy places the organism in Eukaryota, Metazoa, Chordata, Mammalia, Artiodactyla, Cervidae. The record is from RefSeq and is a predicted model, not a curated record.